RNAcentral lists this ribosomal RNA (408 nucleotides) under uncultured bacterium. RNAcentral's name for it is "partial 16S ribosomal RNA". It matches the Rfam family "Bacterial small subunit ribosomal RNA", at positions 28 to 526 of the family's 1533-position model. The record is from RNAcentral.
GACGAACGCUGGCGGCGUGCUUAACACAUGCAAGUCGAACGGAGUGGCGAACGGGUGAGUAACACGGGGGUGAUCUGCCUUGCACUUCGGGAUAAGCUUGGGAAACUGGGUCUAAUACCGGAUAGUGCAAGAUGAGCUCGCGGCCUAUGUGCUUGUUGGUGGGGUAAUGGCCUACCAAGGCGUCGACGGGUUGCCGUGCUGAGAGGGUGUACGGCCCCAUUGGGACUGAGAUACGUGCCAGACUCAGACCGUGGGCAGCAGUGGGGAAUAUUACACAAUUGGCGGAAGCGUGAGGCAGCGACGCCGCGUGGGUGAUGAAGGCCUUCGGGUUGUAAACUCCUUUCGACAGGGCCGCGGUACCUGUAUAAGAAGCACCGGCUAACUACGUGCCAGCAGCCGCGGUAAUAC